UACGUAGGGGGCAAGCGUUGUCCGGAUUUAUUGGGCGUAAAGAGCGUGUAGGCGGCUUGGUAGGUCCGCUGUGAAAACUCGAGGCUCAACCUCGAGAUGUCGGCGGAGACCACUUGGCUAGAGUCCGGAAGAGGAGAGUGGAAUUCCCGGCGUAGCGGUGAAAUGCGCAGAUAUCGGGAAGAACACCUAUGGCGAAGGCAGCUCUCUGGGACGGUACUGACGCUGAGACGCGAAAGCGUGGGGAGCGAACAGG
This 253-nucleotide ribosomal RNA is filed under the name uncultured bacterium. Its description in RNAcentral is "partial 16S ribosomal RNA". It matches the Rfam family "Bacterial small subunit ribosomal RNA", at positions 524 to 776 of the family's 1533-position model. The record is from RNAcentral.